GAAAUGCGAUACGUAAUGUGAAUUGCAGAUUUCAGUGAAUCAUCGAAUCUUUGAACGCACAUUGCGCCCGCUAGUAUUCUGGCGGGCAUGCCUGUUCGAGCGUCAUUUCAACCAUCAAGCCCCCGGCUUGCGUUGGAGCCCUGCGGCUGCCGCAGGCUCCCAAAUCCAGUGGCGGGCUCGUCGAUGCCGAAUACGUAAC
RNAcentral lists this unclassified non-coding RNA (199 nucleotides) under uncultured Sordariomycetes. Its description in RNAcentral is "sequence contains ITS1". The stretch from base 1 to 105 matches the Rfam family "5.8S ribosomal RNA", at positions 50 to 154 of the family's 154-position model. From Rfam's summary of the family: 5.8S ribosomal RNA (5.8S rRNA) is a component of the large subunit of the eukaryotic ribosome. It is transcribed by RNA polymerase I as part of the 45S precursor that also contains 18S and 28S rRNA. The record is from RNAcentral. Lineage: Eukaryota; Fungi; Ascomycota; Sordariomycetes.